GCUCAGGUGGUGGAAUUGGUAGACACGUACGCUUGAGGGGCGUAUGGCGCAAGCCGUGUGGGUUCGAGUCCCACUCUGAGCACCA
Molecule: transfer RNA, 85 nt
Filed under: Opitutaceae bacterium
Lineage: Bacteria; Pseudomonadati; Verrucomicrobiota; Opitutia; Opitutales; Opitutaceae
Description: tRNA-Leu
Rfam family: tRNA
About the family: Transfer RNA (tRNA) molecules are approximately 80 nucleotides in length. Their secondary structure includes four short double-helical elements and three loops (D, anti-codon, and T loops).
Source: RNAcentral